GUCGAACGGCAGCAUGAUCUAGCUUGCUAGAUUGAUGGCAAGUGGUGAACGGGUGAGUAAUACAUCGGAACGUGCCCUGUAGUGGGGGAUAACUAGUCGAAAGAUUAGCUAAUACCGCAUACGACCUGAGGGUGAAAGUGGGGGACCGCAAGGCCUCAUGCUAUAGGAGCGGCCGAUGUCUGAUUAGCUAGUUGGUGAGGUAAAGGCUCACCAAGGCGACGAUCAGUAGCUGGUCUGAGAGGACGAUCAGCCACACUGGGACUGAGACACGGCCCAGACUCCUACGGGAGGCAGCAGUGGGGAAUUUUGGACAAUGGGCGAAAGCCUGAUCCAGCAAUGCCGCGUGUGUGAAGAAGGCCUUCGGGUUGUAAAGCACUUUUGUCCGGAAAGAAAUGGCUCUGGUUAAUACCUGGGGUCGAUGACGGUACCGGAAGAAUAAGGACCGGCUAACUACGUGCCAGCAGCCGCGGUAAUACGUAGGGUCCAAGCGUUAAUCGGAAUUACUGGGCGUAAAGCGUGCGCAGGCGGUUGUGCAAGACCGAUGUGAAAUCCCCGAGCUUAACUUGGGAAUUGCAUUGGUGACUGCACGGCUAGAGUGUGUCAGAGGGGGGUAGAAUUCCACGUGUAGCAGUGAAAUGCGUAGAGAUGUGGAGGAAUACCGAUGGCGAAGGCAGCCCCCUGGGAUAACACUGACGCUCAUGCACGAAAGCGUGGGGAGCAAACAGGAUUAGAUACCCUGGUAGUCCACGCCCUAAACGAUGUCAACUAGUUGUUGGGGAUUCAUUUCCUUAGUAACGUAGCUAACGCGUGAAGUUGACCGCCUGGGGAGUACGGUCGCAAGAUUAAAACUCAAAGGAAUUGACGGG
Molecule: ribosomal RNA, 866 nt
Filed under: uncultured beta proteobacterium
Lineage: Bacteria; Pseudomonadati; Pseudomonadota; Betaproteobacteria
Description: bacterial SSU rRNA
Rfam family: Bacterial small subunit ribosomal RNA
Source: RNAcentral